This is an RNA transcript of Acipenser ruthenus (sterlet), 7462 nucleotides long. It is a transcript of the gene named MAM domain-containing glycosylphosphatidylinositol anchor protein 2, with no coding region annotated. NCBI's taxonomy places the organism in Eukaryota, Metazoa, Chordata, Actinopteri, Acipenseriformes, Acipenseridae. The record is from RefSeq and is a predicted model, not a curated record. The transcript is spliced from 16 exons.
UCUACGCCCAUUGAAGCUACAACACAUUGACAGUGAAAUAACGUGCUGCUGGAUGACUAAUACCUACACAGAGGAUUUGUUUUACAAUCUUGGGUUAUAUGCGUUAUCACUAAAACUGAGAUAUAUAUAUUUUCUUUAAUGUGUCCCCCGCUUUGUGUUACCGCACGGGUUUUCACAUGGUCGAGAUACAGUGAGGCUGCGCGUUGCAGCACAUCCCAAUGCGUUGUGAAGAAUCACGCACUCUCUGACGUCGCCUUGCUGCGGCUGCCCGCUCACUCCAGCGCCACAGCACGUAUUGCGCAACGUGACUGUUCAUGCCCACCAAUCCAUCCUCCUUUUGUGCAUUCUGUGUGGAAGACAGAAAAAAGAGAAGAAACGCAUCUCCUCCUACUCCUUCUCCUGCCUGCUCUCGCAGAGGAAUCGGGAGGCUCUUACGAAAUCAGGUGCAUUGUCAGUUUCUGCGUUAGUGGAUCUGCGAGAUGACACGUUCGGAGGUAUUGGAUGCUGCAGAAUUCUAGCGGUGGGGAGCGCAUCACCUUUACUUACCAAUCCAGCGCAUCCUGGAACUUCCAGCAUUGAGGCAACCGGCUCGCUGUGGGGGGAGAGAAAUAAGCACGGGAAGAGAGAGAAAGGCAAGCUGUAUUGUGUGAUCUUAAAGACGGUCUCUCUGGGUUGCAAUAGCAAUGGCAGCUGAUGGAAUUGGUAAACAGGGGUGCGUGUGGAUAUUGCACGACUGCAAUCAAGCGUGUCUGUUUAAUUAUUCUCGGGGGAGCUUCGUGAGCUACUUUUAAACGCAGAAGAGCCCUCCUUUCUUCCCCUCCUAGCUCGAUCCAUUUUAAAAGCCCACUCAGCUUAUUUUUUAUUGGCUUGUGAAACGUGCAUUUCUUCAUUUUCACCGUGAACGACUCUGCUUCUCCUCGAGCACAGAGGCUUCUUCUAUUUAAUUAUUUUAAAUAUAUAUACAAUAAAGAAUUGUUUGUAAUUCCGAAUGCUUUUCGGUGGUUGAAGAACCCUCCCCCUCCCUACUGCCACUACUGAUUUAUCAGCGGGAGUGCUGUGUGACAGUAGCCGGGAUUCGUGCUCUGUCUUGCAGACACUUUCCCCAAGAAGGCUCCGUCGUCUCUGGGCUGGAUAUGUUCACAUUUACGUCAAGAUGGAUUUAGUUUGCGGUCUGUUGUGGCUGCUCACGGUGUGUCUGGAAGGCAUUUGUUGCCAGGGAGUGUACGCGCCACCUAGUGUCCGCAUUGUGCACUCCGGGCAGGCAUGCAACAUCGAGGAAGAACGAUACACAGAGCGAGUGUACACCAUAAAAGAAGGAGAGACUCUGGAAUUAACAUGUCUUGUAACUGGCCACCCGCGGCCACAGAUCAGAUGGACCAAAACAGCAGGAAGUGCCUCCGACCGGUUCCAGGACUCGAGCGUCUUCAACGAGACCCUGCGGAUCAGCAACAUCCAGCGACACCAGGGGGGGCGCUAUUACUGCAAGGCAGAGAAUGGGCUGGGCUCGCCCGCCAUCAAGUCUAUCCGCGUGGACGUCUAUUAUCUGGAUGACCCCUCUGUGACAGUGCACCAGAGUAUCGGGGAGGCGAAGGAGCAGUUUUACUACGAGCGGACCGUGUUCCUGCGAUGCGUGGCCAACUCCAACCCCCCAGUGCGGUACAGCUGGCGCCGUGGCCGGGACGUCCUGUCCCAGGGCUCUGACAAGGGAGUGGAGAUCUAUGAACCCUUCUUCACCCAGGGUGAAACCAAAAUCUUAAAGCUGAAGAAUCUUCGACCUCAGGAUUACGCAAACUACAGCUGCAUUGCUUCGGUCCGAAACGUGUGCAGCAUCCCUGACAAGAUGGUCGUGUUCAGGCUUUCAAACAAAACAGCAUCUCCUUCGAUCAAGUUGCUGGUGGAAGACCCCAUCGUAGUGAACCCAGGGGAGACGGUGACCCUGGUCUGUAUAACGUCAGGAGGGGAGCCCGCUCCCACAUUGACCUGGGUCAGAGGCACCGAGACCCUGCCUCAGAAAAGCGUGUUGAACGGGGGCACUUUAACCUUACCAGCGAUUACCUCUGAAGAUGCUGGGAUUUACAGCUGUGUGGCGAACAACAACGUGGGCAACCCUGCUAAGAAAUCCACCACCAUCAUCGUCAGAGCUUUGAAGAAGGGCCGGUUCUGGAUCACCCCUGACCCGUACCACAACGACGACAACAUCCAGAUCGGCCGCGAGGUGAAGAUUUCCUGCCAGGUGGAGGCCACUCCCCCGGAGGAGCUGGCGUUCAGUUGGCUGAAGAACGGGCGGCCGCUGCGCAGCUCCGAGAGGAUGGUCAUCACGCAGACCGACCCCGACGCUUCCCCGGGCACCACCAACCUGGACAUCAUCGACCUCAAGUUCACCGACUUCGGGACCUACACCUGCAUGGCGUCGCUGAAGGGGGGAGGCAUAGCGGACAUCAGCAUCGACGUGAACAUCUCCUCCACCACCGUCCCUCCGAAACUCUCGAUCCCCAGUGGGAAGUCACCCCUGGUCACCCGGGAGGGGGACACGGUGGAGCUGCAGUGCCAGGUGACUGGGAAGCCCAAGCCCAUCAUCCUGUGGUCACGCGCGGACAAGGAGGCGCCCAUGCCGGACGGCAGCAUGGAGACAGAGAGCUACGACGGGAUCCUGCGGAUUGUGAACGUCUCCCGGGAAAUGACCGGAUCCUACCGGUGCCAAACCAGCCAGUACAACGGAUUCAACGUCAAGCCCAGGGAGACGGUGGUGGAGCUGAUUGUGCAGUAUCCACCCACCGUGGAACCCAUGUUCACAGAGAUGCGGCAAGGCCUGGGCCGCAACAUAGUGAUGAACUGCAGGGUGCUGCGGGCCUACCCGUCCCGGGUCCUCUCCUACGAGUGGAGGCUGGCCGGCAGGGUCCUGCGCACGGGCUACUUCGAUUCCCAGGACUCCACGGAGUACACUGUGAGCAGCCUGGCGCGCGAGGGCUACGGGGUCUACAACUGCAGCAUAGUGAACGAGGCCGGCACGGGGAGGUGCAGCUUCCUCGUCACGGGCCAGGCCUACGCGCCCGAAUUCUACUAUGACACCUUCAACCCGCUGUGGCAAAACCGUCCUCGCGUCUACUCCUACAGCCUGCAGUGGACCCAGAUGAACCCCAACGCAGUGGACCGCAUUCUUGCAUAUCGCUUGGGGAUUAGGCAGGCUGGUCAGCAGCGCUGGUGGGAGCAGGAGAUCCCAGUGAAUGGGAUGAUCCAGAAGGGGGAGCUGAUCACCUACAACCUGUCCGAACUGAUCAAGCCAGAGGCGUACGAGGUGCGCCUGACCCCCAUCACCAAGUUCGGAGAGGGGGACUCCACAAUCAGAAUGAUCAAAUACAGCGCUCCAAUGAAUCCCCACUUAAGGAACUUUCACUGUGGAUUUGAAGAGGACCCCAUCUGCAUGUUCACGCAAGAAAAGUCGGAUAAUUUUGAUUGGACCCGUCAGAGUGCUUCAACCAGAGACACAAAGUAUACGCCUAACACAGGCCCCACCACCGACAGAAGUGGGUCCAAACAGGGCUUCUACAUGUACAUUGAGACUUCUCGGCCCAGACUGGAGGGUGAAAAGGCGCGACUGAUGACCCCUACCUUCAAUGUAGCCCCCAAAAACCCCUACGGAGCCACCAACUCAGCAUACUGCUUCAGCUUCUACUACCACAUGUACGGAAAGCAUAUAGGUACUUUGAAUGCAUAUCUACGUCUGAAAGGCCAGACCACAGUAGACAGCCCGGUGUGGGCGCUGAGUGGGAACCAAGGCGAGCACUGGAGACUGGCCACCGCGAAUAUCCACCCCAACACCUCCUUUCAGGCAAGUGCCGUUCUCCCUGCAGUGUCAGGAACAGAACAAACUGGACAGGAAGAUAUGAACAGUCUGUAUUCUAAUUAGGUCAUUGCCAUCUAUAACUGUUAAACACUCCAUGGGACUACAUUUAGAAAUACUAAAAGAGAAAACGUGAUCAAUUCAAUGACAGACGUUCCGACUGCAGUACAGAUCUUUUACAAUGUCUACAAGCGUUGAAAAGGGAUUCUAGUGGAAACAUUUGUUGUUGAAGUUUCUUUUAGUAUCCCCUAUUAGGUAAUUGAUCAGACUUGCCUAGUAGCAGUACACAGUGGUCCUGCGUUAUUAAAAGCUCACUAUAUUAGUAAUACACAAUUUUAGAUAUACUGUACAUACUUUAGUAUAACUUAGAAGAAAUGUUCUAGCCAGAAAAGCUGUGAAUAAAACUGUAGUUAAUGAAGAUAAUGCUGAGCCAGGAUUUAAAACCAUAAUAUACAUUUUAUGAUAAACAUGCUGAGCAAAGAGAAAAAUUGUCCUUUUUUUCCCUUUGGAAAAAGUUUAAUAUCGCUGUAACAUAAAAUCCAAUGUGACUCGCCCGUCCCAAUCAUCGUAAUGAGGUUUAUAAAAGAGGACCCAUGUACAAAGGGCUUUUGCCAUUCAAAAGCAUCCAUCCGUGAAAUGUUGGCUGUUCCAUUCUGAGUCCUAUAAUUAUAAGGGAUUCAGACUUCAAGAAGCUGAAAAGAAGCCAGGAAAGAUUAGGAAAUUGUCUUUCUGUUCCCAGUUGUAAAUUACUUAACAGUCACCAGUCACUAAGGUGACAUAUAAAACAAAUGGGGUUACAGGCACACGGCCCGCUCCAGGAAUAGCUAAUCUUAUUUGACUCCCCUGAUGGGACAACACAUUUAUAUCCUGAGCGAGCUCCCAGUGGGAUGUACGAGCAACAAGAGUGUGGCUAAAGAGCAGUGUUGAUGUUGUAGAAUCAAAGACUAACACCAGGAGCACACUGUCUUAAAAAGACUUUCAUGAUGCUUUCAUAGUACAAUGCCCAUGCAUUGUGAAUUCCCCAUAUGGAGGCUGCAUUGCUGAAUCCACAUGGAUCCUGUUGGAUUAAAAGCUUGGUAGAGAGCCGACUGUAACAAGCAGUGAUGCACUGCCGUUACAGAUUCUGCCCUGUCUCCUGUCGGGGAAGUGAGAUCAGAAUGCAGACGAGCCCGGCUCUUUUGCAUGGUGGUAAGGACACUCGCUUGGGUACGCAGGGUUGCUGGUUUGUGCCCAGCCUCCGCCCUGUUACUCAAGGAUCAGGCUAGUAAACUGCAUUAGAAGAGCACGCUGAAGAGAAGAAUCGCAUUGCAUCAUCAGAAACCAAGCUGUUGAAUUACAAUGUGUUAGCCUACAUGUUGAUGCCCCUCCCCCAAUACCUCUCUUCAUUUUACACAUGAUCAUCAAUAAAGAAAUGUGUCUGACCAAUAAUGUACAUUCUUGCAGAUAAUCUUUGAAGGCAUUCGAGGUCCUGGUAUAGAAGGAGACAUUGCCAUAGAUGAUGUGUCUCUCAUGGAAGGGGAGUGUAUGAAAGCAGACGAGCCGAACGUCGCUGGGGUAUCUGCCUGCUCUCCUGGUGGAUCGCAUAUAUGGCAGCUACCAGUCGCCCUACUCCUGGCUCUGUAUAGCCAUCGAAGGUGACCUUUCACAGGCAGAGGCUACAGAAAGAUUCAUCAGGCAUUGGCAUGACGAAGGAGUCUUUGUACUUGGACCUUCAUAAUAAAAUUACCAAAGAUUCAUCCGCUGAACUGCUGAGGGGAACAGAAAAGCACCUAGGGUACCCGAGGGAGCAAAAACAAACAAACAAACAAACAAACAGAAAGGAAGAAUAAAAAAGAUAAAAGCCACUUAUUUUUUAAUAAAAUAUAUGCAGAAGAUGCUCCCAAGGGCAGAAUGGAGAGCUGUUUAUGUGACGUUUUGGUUGUUUCUGAAAUAAUGGCUGGGCAAGUCUGGAUUGUUUUUAUAUCAAGGAGAGAGACUGAUAAAGAUUGGAAAUUCCAGUAAAGCACAAAGACAUGGCUGUUUUUUUUUGUUCCAUCAUGUCAAAAUCACUUGUUGCCAAGAAAUCAAAUGGAUUGCUGAAAAAAAAACAGGAUACAGAAAGUGUUGUCAAUUACUCCCCUAUACCAAGGCAUUGUCAAGAAAGAGUGAAUUCUGCUCGCACAUCUGUGGCUCUCGGAUUCUAGCUGACAAUAUCCAAUACUCCAAGAUUUGUGUAGCAUUCUGUUCCUUCUUUCUUUGUAUCCCCAUGCAACCUACAAUGACCCAACACUGACAACCCCAGAAACCCUUGCCUUUCACUCUUAGCAUAGCUUCACAAAAAAAAAAAAAAAGAUAAUUUCUUCUGCCUCUCCUGCAUGAUUGGCUGUCCACUGUACCCCAAAACUGGGCCCACGUUAUUUUAUUGGUCUUAUUGAAAUCUGCUUGUGUGUUGUGGAACAGGGGGUGUCUGUUUUACAUCAUUAACACUUCCCUGCUACCAGUCCUACAUCCGCCAUAGGAAUGUGAGCCACCAUCUGCCAUGAACCAAGUGCCUUUAAAUUUUAAAUAAGCCUGAAAAUAAAAUAAAAGUAUAUAUAAAGAUAAAUAUUUGCACCACUCCUGGUGGGGCUAUUUUGUACACAGUCGACAGCCUACCUGUGCUGUUUAAAGGUAGUAAUAAUAAAAAUUAAAAAAAAAGAUUAAUAAAAAAUUGUAUUAAUGACCCGGAGCAGUCCCUCCAUAGCUUCUGAAGAAGAAAAGAAAUGAAAAUGCUACCUAAGUCGUCCUGGAUGGGAUAUUUGUUAUAGUCUUCAAGGCAGCCAUGGCCUUUGAGCAAGCAAUCCUCUUUGAAUUAAAAAAAAAAAAGAAGAAAAAAAUAGUUCUGUACCGAGACUGUAAAUUGGAAGCAGUGCUCUGAGUGGGGUUACUGAGCAUGAGCGGAAUGACCAGUACAAAGGUGUCUGGAGAGGCGAGCACAGCAAAGGAGAGCAAAGCCUGUGAUUGAUGCCCUUAUUUAGAGGAGUAGUCUCCAUUCCAGAUCGAGGCGGCCCUAGGCGUGCAAAAAACAAACCCCAGUAUGGAACUGCAGUGCAAUGGGAAUGUGUUUCUGUGUCCGGACUGUUCGGAGCGAGGCGCCGUCCUGAGGCUGAGGAUUGGGAAGGAUGACUUGUGGGCUCCUUGCCUCUGCCCGUUUUUGUCAAAACUUUCUGAACAAAAUUAAAACAAAAAAAAAAUAUUUUAUUACCUUAGCUGGAGUGUAAUAUUACUUUUACACAAAAUGAAGAAACUGUAAAGAAUGACUUGGAGCUACCUGAGACCAUACAAUACCUUGACCAGUUGGUUUUAGAAAUGUAUUGUGAAUCUCCCUUUUAUCCUUGAUUAUGAUGACAUUUAAAGACUUUUCUUUUUUUUGGCUUAAAUUAUCUGACCUUUUAACUUCAUAUAACAGACUUUAAUUUUGUUUUCUUUCAGGAAGAUGUACUUGUCCUUCUUGACUCCCUUGCAUUUAAAACAGAACCAGAAAAACUGAUAUGCAAAUAAAUGGGUAAAUCAAUAAUUUAAAAUAAGUUCUAUAGGUAACCUUUGUGACUAUUCAUACACAAAAAGCACAAGAUGUAAUAAUAAUAAAAAUCAUAAUGCAGA